This is a non-coding RNA of Petromyzon marinus (sea lamprey), 431 nucleotides long. The record is from RefSeq and is a predicted model, not a curated record. Lineage: Eukaryota; Metazoa; Chordata; Hyperoartia; Petromyzontiformes; Petromyzontidae.
CCGACAACAGAAGACGCCCGGCAGCCACCUCCUCGCCCUGCCCGUCAAGACACGAGCGUGUGGCACAGGGACCCCUAAAGGAACAGCUUCCUCCAGUCAGCGUGGCAGCACCCUCUCCAUUAAGAGGACAAAUGAGCGGCAAAUGAGGAGGAAAACACCUCGUUCAGAGAGAGAUGGCCCAGAUGGGAAAAGAGGGCCAUGAAGUUUGCUAUUCCAAGAAUUUGGCAGGAACCCACUGACCACUCAAGCAACUGCUACGUCUGCAUGGUGGACCCUUCCAAACGUGGGACAGGUAAGAAUGGACCUGCUAUCAUCCAUAGCCCCGGUGCCACGCUGCCAUGAGCUCCCCGUACCCACUCCUCCGGAGAGAGAGCAGCCGUCUUUAGAAGAGAGCAGCAAGUUAGAGAGCGAGGAAGAUGUUGUAGAUCCAG